UACUGAAAAAUUGUGAAAAAAAUUGGAAAAAAUUUUAAUUUGAAAUUUCCUCACUUCUCAAUUUUUUCACUUUGGUUAAUUACAAUUUACGAUGCCGAGGAGAAGACGGCCUGAUUUACGGUGCGAAGAACUACCUCACGUGCUAACCGCACUGAUGACCAGAGACAGACAGAUCAAGAAAAUAGUCGUAUUGCUAUGUCAGAAAUUCAGAAUUACAGAAAUGUAACAAUUGUUUCCAGAUGACAUCAUUUGGUGCUACACAUAUUAUACAAGACAAUUUCGUGCCCACUUUUAAGAUACAAGGACAAUUUUAUCACUUACUGGGAACUCUGUUACCACUACCUGAUGCAGAUCAUCAAUUUUUACAAAUUUAUUUUAUGGGCAAUUCAGAUGCGGAAAUUAAUAAUCGUUGUGCUCACAA
Drosophila ananassae is the source of this 421-nucleotide long non-coding RNA. RefSeq lists it as uncharacterized. The record is from RefSeq and is a predicted model, not a curated record. NCBI's taxonomy places the organism in Eukaryota, Metazoa, Arthropoda, Insecta, Diptera, Drosophilidae. The transcript has 2 exons.